AGACUUCUGCAUCUUUAGGAUAUNCUAGUCCAACAUCGAGGUCACAACCCCCCCUUUCGAUUAGGUCUCUCAAGAGAGAUUAUGCUGUUAUCCCUGCGGUAACUAAUUUCUUUAAUCAAACUAAUUGGAUCUAAACUUGUAAGUUUUUUAUAUUUAAGAAGCUUUUUUUGUUCCUUAGUCGCCCCAACUAAAAAGCUCAAUAGAUUAUUUAUUUAAAAUCUAUAUAAACUUCUACGGUUCUUUAAGCUCGACAGGG
Molecule: ribosomal RNA, 256 nt
Filed under: Cerithideopsis scalariformis
Lineage: Eukaryota; Metazoa; Mollusca; Gastropoda; Potamididae
Description: partial 16S ribosomal RNA
Source: RNAcentral